This 644-nucleotide long non-coding RNA is filed under the name Junco hyemalis (dark-eyed junco). Its description in RNAcentral is "lncRNA (ENSJHYG00000006449.1)". Lineage: Eukaryota; Metazoa; Chordata; Aves; Passeriformes; Passerellidae. The record is from RNAcentral.
CCUGAAUUCUCUAGCAGCAUAAGAAAAUUCAGUCUUGGUGAAGUAAGUGGGGGAGCUUUAGUGUGCAGGUACAGGCUUGGUGUAUGAGCUGGGCAAGCACAGAUGUGAGAAAUUCAGGCAUGCCAAGAGAGAAGUGCAGAUGGACAAUGCAUCUGAAACAGCCAUGGCUAGUACAGGUCUUUUUAGAAGCUCAUUAUUGUAAACUUGAAAUACAUGGGGCACAUCCUUUCCAAGUCUUUCCCCGCUCCAGGCAAAAGAGUAGCAAGUUUGCCGCAAAGGUGUUUAAUGUGUCGUUCAUAUCAUCUUCUGGGGAGAGACGCCAUCAGUAGCUCAACCUCCAUAUCCACAGCCAGCCUUCCCAAGCCAGAAAUUGCAGCUGAUUUUAGGAAGAGGCAUUUUACACUUGAUGCAUAUAGACUUGAGCAUACGCACACAGAAAUCCGUGCACAACGUGGUGGUUGUUACCUCAGUUGGUUUGGUCUUCCAAGUCCUCCACUGAUGAGGGAAAGGAGAAGAGUGUCCUCCAUGAGAAGAGGACUUUUUAAAAUAUUGAAGAGGCAUGUUUGCUUUACAAAUUGAGGAAGAUGUGAAUUUUUCCUCUUCACAGUGAGUUAUUCCUUCUUUACAUAGAUCUUCUGCUUGCA